CCAAAAUUGUGAGAUUUGUUAGUUUCAUCAUUAUUUUUGUGAUGAUUUCUUCCUUGUUGGUUUCAACAGUGAAACCAAAACCAAAGAAUCCUGCAAAGCCACAAACUCCUCCGACACCGCUGCCACCAUAUAGAAGACCGUGUGAUCCGGUUUAUAUAAAAGCGCUGCCUGGAGCAUGUCAUAAAUUAAAUGGAGAUGAAUUAUGCCAAGAUGUUUGCGGAGGACUUAAAUAUUUAAACGGUUAUCAAUUCUCAAAAUGUGCGGCAGAUAAAAAGUUCUGCGAAUGUCGCAAUUGUUUCUAAGUUCCUAAAUACUGCUUUCCGAACUUACUAAAAUAUUAAAGUGUUGGUUCAAUUAUCCA
Capsella rubella is the source of this 361-nucleotide long non-coding RNA. RefSeq lists it as uncharacterized. Lineage: Eukaryota; Viridiplantae; Streptophyta; Magnoliopsida; Brassicales; Brassicaceae. The transcript is spliced from 2 exons. The record is from RefSeq and is a predicted model, not a curated record.